This 409-nucleotide ribosomal RNA is filed under the name uncultured Gammaproteobacteria bacterium. Its description in RNAcentral is "bacterial SSU rRNA". It matches the Rfam family "Bacterial small subunit ribosomal RNA", at positions 9 to 429 of the family's 1533-position model. The record is from RNAcentral. Lineage: Bacteria; Pseudomonadati; Pseudomonadota; Gammaproteobacteria.
GAGUUUGAUCUUGGCUCAGAUUGAACGCUGGCGGCAUGCCUAACACAUGCAAGUCGAGCGGGGUGUAGCAAUACAUCCAGCGGCGGACGGGUGAGGAAUACGUAGGAAUUUGCCUUAGAGCGGGGGAUAGCCCAGGGAAACUUGGAGUAAUACCGCAUGAUGUCGAAAGACCAAAGCAGGGGACCGCAAGGCCUUGCACUCUAAGAGAAGCCUACGUCUGAUUAGCUAGUUGGUGAGGUAAUGGCUCACCAAGGCGACGAUCAGUAACUGGUCUGAGAGGACGAUCAGUCACACUGGAACUGAGACACGGUCCAGACUCCUACGGGAGGCAGCAGUGGGGAAUAUUGGACAAUGGGCGAAAGCCUGAUCCAGCAAUGCCGCGUGUGUGAAGAAGGCCUUCGGUUGUAAG